GAUGAACGCUGGCGGCGUGCUUAACACAUGCAAGUCGAACGAGAAGUGAAGACGGAAACCUUCGGGCGGAAGGCUUUAUUUCGAGUGGCGGACGGGUGAGUAACGCGUGGGUAACCUGCCUCAUACAGGGGGAUAACAGUUGGAAACGACUGUUAAUACCGCAUAAGACCACAGCACCGCAUGGUGCGGGGGUAAAAACUCCGGUGGUAUGAGAUGGACCCGCGUUCGAUUAGCCAGUUGGCGGGGUAACGGCCCACCAAAGCGACGAUCGAUAGCCGAUCUGAGAGGAUGACCGGCCACCUUGGGACUGAGACACGGCCCAAACUCCUACGGGAGGCAGCAGUGGGGAAUAUUGCACAAUGGGGGAAACCCUGAUGCAGCGACGCCGCGUGAGUGAAGAAGUAUUUCGGUAUGUAAAGCUCUAUCAGCAGGGAAGAAAAUGACGGUACCUGAGUAAGAAGCCCCGGCUAACUACGUG
This 478-nucleotide ribosomal RNA is filed under the name uncultured bacterium. Its description in RNAcentral is "partial 16S ribosomal RNA". It matches the Rfam family "Bacterial small subunit ribosomal RNA", at positions 28 to 507 of the family's 1533-position model. The record is from RNAcentral.